This 918-nucleotide ribosomal RNA is filed under the name Lulworthia cf. purpurea. Its description in RNAcentral is "SSU rRNA". It matches the Rfam family "Eukaryotic small subunit ribosomal RNA", at positions 63 to 993 of the family's 1831-position model. The record is from RNAcentral. Lineage: Eukaryota; Fungi; Ascomycota; Sordariomycetes; Lulworthiales; Lulworthiaceae.
GUAUAAGCAAUUAUACCGCGAAACUGCGAAUGGCUCAUUAUAUCAGUUAUCGUUUAUUUGAUAGUUCCCUACUACUUGGAUAACCGUGGUAAUUCUAGAGCUAAUACAUGCGAAAAACCGCGACUUCGGAAGCGGUGUAUUUAUUAGAUUAAAGACCAAUGCCCUUCGGGGCUGACUGGUGAUUCAUGAUAACUUCUCGAAUCUCACGGCCUUGCGCCGGCGAUGGUUCAUUCAAAUUUCUGCCCUAUCAACUUUCGACUUUAGCGUAGUGGGCUAAAGUGGUUACAACGGGUAACGGAGGGUUAGGGCUCGACCCCGGAGAAGGAGCCUGAGAGACGGCUACUACAUCCUAGGAAGGCAGCAGGCGCGCUGAUUACCCAAUCGCGACACGGGGAGGUAGUGACAAUAAAUACUGAUACAGGGCUCUUUUGGGUCUUGUAAUUGGAAUGAGUACAAUUUAAAUCCCUUAUCGAGGAACAAUUGGAGGGCAAGUCUGGUGCCAGCAGCCGCGGUAAUUCCAGCUCCAAUAGCGUAUAUUAAAGUUGUUGUGGUUAAAAAGCUCGUAGUUGAACCUGGGCCUCGCGCAGACCGGUCCGCCUCACCGCGUGCACUGGUCCUGCCGGGGCUUUCACUAGGGGAUUCGCAUGCCCUUCACUGGGCGUGCGCGGAACCUGGACCUUUACUGUGAAAAAAUUAGAGUGUUCAAAGCAGGCCUAUGCUCGAAUACAUUAGCAUGGAAUAAUAGAAUAGGACGUGUGGUUCUAUUUUGUUGGUUAUGGGACCGCCGUACUGAUUAGUAGGGACAGUCGGGCGCAUCAGUAUUCAAUUGCCAGAGGUGAAAUUCUUGGAUCUACUGAGGACUAACUACUGCGAACGCAUUUGCCAAGGAUGUUUUCAUUAAUCAGGAACAACAGUUAG